RNAcentral lists this ribosomal RNA (253 nucleotides) under uncultured bacterium. Its description in RNAcentral is "partial 16S ribosomal RNA". It matches the Rfam family "Bacterial small subunit ribosomal RNA", at positions 524 to 776 of the family's 1533-position model. The record is from RNAcentral.
UACGUAGGCAGCGAGCGUUGUUCGGAAUUAUUGGGCGUAAAGCGCGUGUAGGCGGCUCGGUAAGUCUGCUGUGAAAGUCCAGGGCUCAACCCUGGAACGCCGGUGGAUACUGUCGAGCUCGAGUCCGGAAGAGGCGAGUGGAAUUCCUGGUGUAGCGGUGAAAUGCGCAGAUAUCAGGAGGAACACCAAUGGCGAAGGCAGCUCGCUGGGACGGUACUGACGCUGAGACGCGAAAGCGUGGGGAGCAAACAGG